GAAAUUAGUUCUCAUUCUUGUUUAUCACCUAAUUAGAAUAGUUAGGGCAAUUAGAAAACGAAGUCCAUGCUCAAAUAUGUUUCUGUGUGUGUAUAUUGAAAUUCUUUAAAUCAGUUUGCUUCUCCUCAGCACUUCUUUCUGCUAACAACUUUUCUCAUAUGCAGAGAUGUCAUUUCUAGCAUAUCGUCAGACAGUACCCUGCAAAAGUCAUGCAGGGCUUUCUCCUCCGGAGAUGGGGAUCUGGUUGUUGCUGCUGUCCCUUUUAUGGGAGAAUCAAUUAGUGAUGGCACUUUGGCAACAUUCUUGAAAAAACCUGGUGAUUCGGUAGCAGCUGAUGAACCAAUUGCUCAAAUAGAAACUGAUAAG
This is a long non-coding RNA of Hibiscus syriacus, 366 nucleotides long. RefSeq lists it as uncharacterized. The record is from RefSeq and is a predicted model, not a curated record. NCBI's taxonomy places the organism in Eukaryota, Viridiplantae, Streptophyta, Magnoliopsida, Malvales, Malvaceae. The transcript is spliced from 3 exons.